ACUUUUGUGGCUUACUAUAGGUAUAAAUUGAAGCCUCAUGUGCUGAAUCCAGUAUUUAACUCCUUGAAAUAUCAUCUCAACCCCAAAUUCUCCCCUUAACUGCCUGUCCGCCUCUCAUUGUCCAUUUCUGUCAUCUUUCCAGAAUGCAGAGCUUCCCACAUUAUCUCGUAGUAAUUAACUCUAAAGUCCCAGAGACUCUUGUAUUAAUUGUAGCACGAACUGGACCUAAUUUAAUGGGAUUUUCCUCUGCUUGUCUCAUCCGGAGGUUGAUAAAGAUGAAUGUCACACAUCAUCCAGUAUGGAAGUUUCAGAAGUUAGAAGACAUUUGCUAAGUCAAGUUACUUAAAUCUGGCAACUUCAGCGGUAAUUUCAGCCAGUUUGCAUUUAAUGGAAGAAGACCAUUGUCUGCUCAUGUUUAUAUCCUCUAAAGUUGAUUUGUCAAAUGUAUUAGAAAGAUGAUUUGCGAAGGGCCCUGGAAUACUGGGAUCAAGACAGAUGCGAGUCCUGCCUCUAUGGAGUCUUGAGUCUGUUGGGGAGACAGACAUUAUAUUACAUCCAUACAAGGAUGGUCUGCACCGGGAGACGAGAAUCGAAUUGUACUAGGGCAACCUAGCAUCUCAGGACUGCAGCUCACCUGGGUAAGUGAGAAUACCUGUCUCUUUAGAUGUUUGUUUUGAGUUUUAUACUGACAUUUUAAUUAAUCUGUUAGUAAAAUGAAGUUAUUUUCAGUUUGGAAAAAGUAGGAAGACACAAAGUUGAUAAACUUACAUAUAAUGUCAUUUUAAUAGAACUACAAUCUACUAAAUUUCAGUGUUAGAUGACUGAUGAUACAUUUUUGCAUAGUUGAUUUUUCUAGAGGAGUAUUUAUUGAGUAUAAUGUAACUGUAAAAUUAGAAUGAGGGAAGUAC
Molecule: long non-coding RNA, 908 nt
Organism: Acomys russatus (golden spiny mouse)
Lineage: Eukaryota; Metazoa; Chordata; Mammalia; Rodentia; Muridae
Exons: 4
Source: RefSeq, a predicted model, not a curated record